CGAACGCUGGCGGCAUGCCUAACACAUGCAAGUCGAACGAGACCUUCGGGUCUAGUGGCGCACGGGUGCGUAACACGUGGGAACCUGCCCUUAGGUUCGGAAUAGCUCCCCGAAAGGGGUGCUAAUACCGGAUAAUGUCUUCGGACCAAAGAUUUAUCGCCUUUGGAUGGGCCCGCGUUGGAUUAGCUAGUUGGUAGGGUAAAAGCCUACCAAGGCGACGAUCCAUAGCUGGUCUGAGAGGAUGAUCAGCCACACUGGGACUGAGACACGGCCCAGACUCCUACGGGAGGCAGCAGUGGGGAAUAUUGGACAAUGGGCGAAAGCCUGAUCCAGCAAUGCCGCGUGAGUGAUGAAGGCCUUAGGGUUGUAAAGCUCUUUUACCCGGGAUGAUAAUGACAGUACCGGGAGAAUAAGCUCCGGCUAACUCCGUG
Molecule: ribosomal RNA, 431 nt
Filed under: uncultured bacterium
Lineage: Bacteria
Description: partial 16S ribosomal RNA
Rfam family: Bacterial small subunit ribosomal RNA
Source: RNAcentral